RNAcentral lists this ribosomal RNA (1454 nucleotides) under Limosilactobacillus reuteri. RNAcentral describes it as "bacterial SSU rRNA". It matches the Rfam family "Bacterial small subunit ribosomal RNA". The record is from RNAcentral. Lineage: Bacteria; Bacillati; Bacillota; Bacilli; Lactobacillales; Lactobacillaceae.
GUGCCUAAUACAUGCAAGUCGUACGCACUGGCCCAACUGAUUGAUGGUGCUUGCACCUGAUUGACGAUGGAUCACCAGUGAGUGGCGGACGGGUGAGUAACACGUAGGUAACCUGCCCCGGAGCGGGGGAUAACAUUUGGAAACAGAUGCUAAUACCGCAUAACAACAAAAGCCACAUGGCUUUUGUUUGAAAGAUGGCUUUGGCUAUCACUCUGGGAUGGACCUGCGGUGCAUUAGCUAGUUGGUAAGGUAACGGCUUACCAAGGCGAUGAUGCAUAGCCGAGUUGAGAGACUGAUCGGCCACAAUGGAACUGAGACACGGUCCAUACUCCUACGGGAGGCAGCAGUAGGGAAUCUUCCACAAUGGGCGCAAGCCUGAUGGAGCAACACCGCGUGAGUGAAGAAGGGUUUCGGCUCGUAAAGCUCUGUUGUUGGAGAAGAACGUGCGUGAGAGUAACUGUUCACGCAGUGACGGUAUCCAACCAGAAAGUCACGGCUAACUACGUGCCAGCAGCCGCGGUAAUACGUAGGUGGCAAGCGUUAUCCGGAUUUAUUGGGCGUAAAGCGAGCGCAGGCGGUUGCUUAGGUCUGAUGUGAAAGCCUUCGGCUUAACCGAAGAAGUGCAUCGGAAACCGGGCGACUUGAGUGCAGAAGAGGACAGUGGAACUCCAUGUGUAGCGGUGGAAUGCGUAGAUAUAUGGAAGAACACCAGUGGCGAAGGCGGCUGUCUGGUCUGCAACUGACGCUGAGGCUCGAAAGCAUGGGUAGCGAACAGGAUUAGAUACCCUGGUAGUCCAUGCCGUAAACGAUGAGUGCUAGGUGUUGGAGGGUUUCCGCCCUUCAGUGCCGGAGCUAACGCAUUAAGCACUCCGCCUGGGGAGUACGACCGCAAGGUUGAAACUCAAAGGAAUUGACGGGGGCCCGCACAAGCGGUGGAGCAUGUGGUUUAAUUCGAAGCUACGCGAAGAACCUUACCAGGUCUUGACAUCUUGCGCUAACCUUAGAGAUAAGGCGUUCCCUUCGGGGACGCAAUGACAGGUGGUGCAUGGUCGUCGUCAGCUCGUGUCGUGAGAUGUUGGGUUAAGUCCCGCAACGAGCGCAACCCUUGUUACUAGUUGCCAGCAUUAAGUUGGGCACUCUAGUGAGACUGCCGGUGACAAACCGGAGGAAGGUGGGGACGACGUCAGAUCAUCAUGCCCCUUAUGACCUGGGCUACACACGUGCUACAAUGGACGGUACAACGAGUCGCAAGCUCGCGAGAGUAAGCUAAUCUCUUAAAGCCGUUCUCAGUUCGGACUGUAGGCUGCAACUCGCCUACACGAAGUCGGAAUCGCUAGUAAUCGCGGAUCAGCAUGCCGCGGUGAAUACGUUCCCGGGCCUUGUACACACCGCCCGUCACACCAUGGGAGUUUGUAACGCCCAAAGUCGGUGGCGCUAACCUUUUAUGGAGGGAG